Long non-coding RNA from Dreissena polymorpha, 2695 nucleotides. RefSeq lists it as uncharacterized. The transcript has 7 exons. The record is from RefSeq and is a predicted model, not a curated record. Lineage: Eukaryota; Metazoa; Mollusca; Bivalvia; Myida; Dreissenidae.
AUCAAUAUGUUUCAAUUAUGGUCCUCUUCCAGUUAGAAUAUGACUAAAGUACCUUGACCUUAUUGAAUAUGAACAAUUUCCCCAUGGUGACUUACUUUAUACUGUCAAGCACUUGAAUAGUCGAGCGCGCUAUCUUCAGACGGCUCUUGUUUGCUUUCUCAUCGACAUUUCCAUUUUAACAUUUAGUAGCCAAAAGGGUUCAAGUCCCCUUGGUCUCGCAAGAACGUACUGCCUGAAUUACGUUGAUCCACCAGGUUUUGAAGUAAAAACCGUCAAUGAUGUCAUAGGCGAAGGAGUCUUUGCCACUAAGCCUUUUAAAAAAGGAGACUUUCUUCUCGAAUACAAAGGGGAUCUGAUUACACGAGUAAAACAUGCACGGCAAUUAGAAAUGGAAUAUGAAAAGGAGGGUCAAGGCAGCUUCAUUUACUUUUUUAAAUACAGAGACAAAUCUUGCUGCAUUGACGCAACCAACGAUAUAUUUCAUGAGGUUCGAAUGAUAAAUGAUGCCGAAAAUGGAGACGCAAAACAAAGUUGUGUAAUGAAAAUAGUUGAAGUCAACCAAACUCCCCAUCUAUGCACUUUCGCCGACAGAGACAUUGCAAUUGGCGAGGAACUCUGAUAUGAUUAUGGAGUACCAACACUUCCAUGGAGAAAGGCAACACAAUGACUACUAGAUCUACAGACAGCCAGGAACCAGGACAAACAACAUCCAUGCACACGGAAGAAGUCAAUGAGACGAAAUGUACGGAACAAAAAUGGGCAACACAAUGACUACUAGAUCUACAGACAGCCAGGAACCAGGACAAACAACAUCCGUACACACGGAAGAAGUCGAUGAGACGAAAAGGGUACUUCAAAUACCAGGAGAACAAAACAAGCAGCCAAAAAGCAAUGGAGUGAAAACGAAAAAGGAGCUGUUCACAGACACUUUGAUCGUUUUUUGAUAAUGGGUAAAUCACCAGGGAAGAAAGAAAUACUUGCAUGUAUUGAAAGUGAGAAUGACCUUCACUACCGAAGUUGGAAAAAUGUCAAAGACUUUUGCAGAAAUUUAAUUCAAACAAAAAAGCGACGGGGACUUUUAACUUAAAAAAAUAUUACACAUAUAAUGCACGUUUAGGAGAAUACGUUAAAGGAUGAAGUUGCCACAUUUUUUUGUGUUUCUUGUUCAAUACUCUUUUCGAAAACGAUAUAUGUGUGCUCAUUGUAUUUGAAUGUUUUAUUAAUACGGUUCAGUCAAAAACGAUAUUUGUUCGUAAUCAUAUCGCCGAACAAAUUAGGAUUGGUAUAUAGUUCGGCCAAAGAGUGUUUCUUUGUACUUUCUAUUACGAGUUUCUACGAGUUACUCACUAUUCAAGUUAUUUUUACCCUAAACUUGGUGAAUAUGAAUGAAUAUAGCAAACAUGAUAACAUAUCAAUCUAGAAGGCUAAACAUUCAGAGAAGGCACAAAAAAAUUCAGUCGGAUAAAUGGAAACAAACAUUUUGUUCAAGCACAACAAACAAACACUUUUAGAUGUAAUAAGAUAAAUGUAAAUAACAUAAAAAAACUACUGCUUAACUACUGCUACAAUAUGAAGAAUACAAAUGAAUAUUUUGUCAAUUUUACAAAAUUUGUUUUGAAUGACAGGUGUCUGACUUGCAGUUAAGUACUUAAUAGUUAUUUUAAAGUAAAAAUUUACCAAAAUGUAAAUUAGUGCGUAAAUAUCGCACUAGAAUUGAUUAAAUAGUUGUUAAAUAUUACAAUAAUUUCCUACACAGAUUUUGUGCAUUUGUUUUGCGUGUAGAUAUUCACAUUAACUAUCAAUUCACAUAUUUGCUUUGUGUAUAUAAUUGGUAUGUUUAUAUGUUUUUCAUAUCAAAAUUGAUUGAUCUACAAAAAUUCGCGAGGAGUUAUGCAUUUUUCCCAUGUUUUUAAUUGAAGUUUAUAAUUCAACGACGAUGAAAAUUACUAAGAUGCCAGAUUUAGUUAUUGUUUUGUCUCGUUUAUGGUUAAAGAUCAAUUAACAUACCCAUUUCCCAGACUAAGAUAUUGUUAAAACAAUUUAUCGCGUUUGCGACUGACCUCUUUUAUGCAUUCUAACACAAGCUAUUUACUUGUUUUUUCGAGUAAUCUUCAUAUACACACACUUGAACAAGCUGUAGAUUACCUAGAACAAAACAUAUUUGAAACAUAUAUUUAUAUGUGAUAUGUAAAUGCAUGAACAAAGCUAAUAAUUAAUCAUGUUUAUACACUUUGCGAUAUGAUGCUAUAAUGUCGGUUGUUUUAAGUGAUUAAUCAUUAUGUUAACCAUGUUAUCUGCCAUCUGGAAUGUAAUUAAGUGUUUUGACAUGCAUGCGAAAUUGAUCUUGUUCGAUUUGGUGCUGUAUAUUCAGUAUUGAGUCACACUGUUAUAAUUUUCCUGUUGGUACAUAUUAUUUUUAAGUUGGUUCCGACAAGGGUCUAACAAUUGAUCCACAUGUGCACUCCCCAGUAAGUAUAUAUAUACUAUAAUGUAAGUGAUUUAAAAUAAUAUUAAACUACGUGUUUGAUAAGUGUUUGCUUUGGUUCAUAUUUAAUUAUUAGUGUAUUUAUAUAAUGAUAAUGCUGUCAAAGUCAGCGAUGAUUAUACGUGUAUAACAACAUUACUUAUAUUUUUUAUAUUGUUUUCAACCAAUAAUAUAUGGAUGACACAUCGGCAUAACUUUUCAGUGCUUAAA